UUUACCUUUCUUAUUUUGGGGAAAAAUAACACACAUGGCAGAGGAGAAUAACAGAGAAAGGAAGGAGGGGGACCAAAAAAGAAGAAGAAAAAAGAAGAAAUGUGCGUUUUGAAGCUUUAAUUCUCCAUUUCCCCAAUUUUUCCAUUGAUUUAGAGAGUUCACAGAGGAGCCUUGCCUGUGUACUACAUUGAUGGGUAGAUUGGGGAUGAAGGAGUCGUGGCUGUGUAUAUAUAGUUCACUAAGGGGCCUUGGCCGUAUUUUACAAUUGAUUAUCCGAGGUCUUUGAGACCCGCUUUCGUGUACAGAGGUGGCCAAAGGCCUGUGGUGAAAAUGCUUGACCCGAGAGGAGGAUUUCAUAUUUUAGUCAGAGGGUACAUUUUUUGUGGAUCACAUGUGAUGUGGCGAGAUGAUGGUAUAGAUAUCAGCUGAUGACUACAUCAUGAAUAUGAGAUGAUAUUUGUGAUCUGCCUAGUCAUACUACCAAGAAUUGUAACAAACUUCUGUUGCGCCUUGAUGCCAAUUGUGCUACUGCUACCUCCAAAAAUAGAAAAUGGCUUCUAGAUUCCACUGCCUCUCACAAUAUUACCUUUGAUUUGACAAAUUUGUCUAUUCACUCGGAGUAUGAUUGUCAAGAUGUUGUUCUUGGAGAUUACCUAUUUAAAAGUCACUCACAUUGGCUCAAUUUCUCCCUACUCAUGAUAAUAGUGUAAUGUUACUAUUAAAUUUUACCCUUUCCUUUUCUUUGUGAAGUAUCGAAUGAUGGGAGUGGUGCUCAUGCACGGUAAACGUGAUGCUGGAGUCUAUUUGGUUCGGUAGCACUAUGACCUCUCUCUAGUGAAGCCCAUGCAAUAAGCCUUAUUGGAACCUGAGUCUUUUUUUCACAAUGGCACCAUCGUUUGGGGCAUCCUACCCCCAAACUUUUAUCAUUGUUACUCUGCAAUUGUUAUUUACCAAUUUUCUUGUGAAAGUCCUCUUUGUCUUGUAUUUCAUGUCAAUGCAAUAAAUCUCGUAAAUUGCCAUUUACUUGUACUUUUCUUACAAGCCAUGCUUCGUUAGAGUUUGUGUAUGCCGAUGUUUGGGGUCCUUAUCCUGUUACCUUUAUUAAUGGCUUUUCGCUAA
Molecule: long non-coding RNA, 1119 nt
Organism: Olea europaea var. sylvestris
Lineage: Eukaryota; Viridiplantae; Streptophyta; Magnoliopsida; Lamiales; Oleaceae
Exons: 2
Source: RefSeq, a predicted model, not a curated record